AUGGAGAGAUUGAGGAUGAUUAGUUUUGUGAUUGACUGUUGUAUAGUAUCGCGGGAAAAUCAUAACACGGCCGUCUUCAUCGGGGAUGGGCACGUUCCUGGAGUUGCUGAAGAAUUUGAUAUAAGUCAAGGAAUUACAACUAUUGCUGGUGGGAAAUCAAGCAGAGGAGGGCAUGUUGGUGGACCAAGUGACGAUGCAAAAUUUGCUACUGAUUUUGAAGUCCAUUACAUUGCCAGUCGUUGCUCCCUUUUGGUGAUUGACAGAGGAAAUCAAGCUAUUAGGGAGAUUCAGCUCAACUUAGAUGACCGUGUGUACCAGUAUGAAGCUGGUUUUCCUAUAGGUUGUUCGCUCACUAGAUCGUCCCAAUUAUUGUACUGUACUGAGUGGUUGAAUUAUCAUGCUGAUCGGGGCGAGGCGACUAUAGCGGCGAGAUCUUAUAAGUGGUUCUUAGAGGUGUACUUGCUGUAG
This 468-nucleotide ribosomal RNA is filed under the name Triticum aestivum (bread wheat). RNAcentral's name for it is "partial small subunit ribosomal RNA". The record is from RNAcentral. Lineage: Eukaryota; Viridiplantae; Streptophyta; Magnoliopsida; Poales; Poaceae.